This 87-nucleotide transfer RNA is filed under the name Volvox carteri f. nagariensis. It matches the Rfam family "tRNA". Rfam says of the family: Transfer RNA (tRNA) molecules are approximately 80 nucleotides in length. Their secondary structure includes four short double-helical elements and three loops (D, anti-codon, and T loops). Further hydrogen bonds mediate the characteristic L-shaped molecular structure. tRNAs have two regions of fundamental functional importance: the anti-codon, which is responsible for specific mRNA codon recognition, and the 3' end, to which the tRNAs corresponding amino acid is attached (by aminoacyl-tRNA synthetases). tRNAs cope with the degeneracy of the genetic code in two manners: having more than one tRNA (with a specific anti-codon) for a particular amino acid; and 'wobble' base-pairing, i.e. permitting non-standard base-pairing at the 3rd anti-codon position. Lineage: Eukaryota; Viridiplantae; Chlorophyta; Chlorophyceae; Chlamydomonadales; Volvocaceae. The record is from Rfam by way of RNAcentral.
GGGGUCGUAGCUCAAAUGGUAGAGCGCCCGCUUAGCAAUAAGCGCCCGAUAUGCGGGAGGUAGGGGGAUCGAUGCCCUCCGACUCCA